This 385-nucleotide unclassified non-coding RNA is filed under the name uncultured Pirellulaceae bacterium. RNAcentral describes it as "contains 16S-23S intergenic spacer region". The record is from RNAcentral. Lineage: Bacteria; Pseudomonadati; Planctomycetota; Planctomycetia; Pirellulales; Pirellulaceae.
UCCGGUUUAACACCGGCAGUCUCCUUAGAGUCCCCGACUUUACUCGCUGGCAACUAAGGACAAGGGUUUCGCUCGUUAAGGGACUUAACCCGACAUCUCACGACACGAGCUGACGACAGCCAUGCAGCACCUGUGCACGUUCCACUCUUGCGAGCGUGGCCUGGCUUUCACCAGGUUAAUCCGUACAUGUCAAGACUAGGAUAAGGUUCUUCGCGUAGCCUCGAAUUAAGCCACAUCCUCCACCGCUUGUGUGAGCCCCCGUCAAUUUCUUUGAGUUUCAGCCUUGCGGCCAUACUCCCCAGGCGGAGCACUUAACUUUUUCAGUGCGGCCAAAAAGAUAUGGAAGUCUCUUCGACCCAGUGCUCAUCGUUUACAGCUAGGACUA